This is a long non-coding RNA of Amphibalanus amphitrite, 363 nucleotides long. RefSeq lists it as uncharacterized. Lineage: Eukaryota; Metazoa; Arthropoda; Thecostraca; Balanomorpha; Balanidae. The record is from RefSeq and is a predicted model, not a curated record. The transcript has 3 exons.
UAGUGUUGUCCCUCAGCGAACGGUAGAUGGCAGCACAUGAAAUUGAGGAAGCGCAGGUGCGCAUUUGAUACGAUUACGACGCAAACAUUCGUUCGGAAGGACAGCCACGUAUUUAUAGCGCAAAUUAAAUUAUCGAAUAUUGGGUCUUUUAGGUACUAGGUGGUUGCUGAAACUUGCAAAUUUACUGUCUGUUGAGUGGUCAAGAUUCACUGAAAAUGGGCUACACCCCAGUGCAGAUUGUGGCUGCUCUUCUUGCUGCAUUUUUUGCCUUUUGGCUGUAUCUAUCAAAGUAUCAGAGCUAAGCAUUUCUUACCUGACAAGGUCUCUGAGUCACACCAGAACGAUGGAGGACCAGGCCCGCGC